UACGUAGGUGACAAGCGUUGUUCGGAAUUACUGGGCGUAAAGGGCGCGUAGGCGGCCUUCUAAGUCGAACGUGAAAUCCCCGGGCUCAACCCGGGAACUGCGUCCGAUACUGGAAGGCUUGAAUCCGGGAGAGGGAUGUGGAAUUCCAGGUGUAGCGGUGAAAUGCGUAGAUAUCUGGAGGAACACCGGUGGCGAAGGCGACAUCCUGGACCGGUAUUGACGCUGAGGCGCGAAAGCCAGGGGAGCAAACGGG
Molecule: ribosomal RNA, 253 nt
Filed under: uncultured bacterium
Lineage: Bacteria
Description: partial 16S ribosomal RNA
Rfam family: Bacterial small subunit ribosomal RNA
Source: RNAcentral